RNAcentral lists this ribosomal RNA (630 nucleotides) under uncultured bacterium. Its description in RNAcentral is "bacterial SSU rRNA". It matches the Rfam family "Bacterial small subunit ribosomal RNA", at positions 233 to 863 of the family's 1533-position model. The record is from RNAcentral.
GCGUCCCAUUAGCUAGUUGGUGAGGUAACGGCUCACCAAGACCUCGAUGGGUAGGGGCUCUGAGAGGAUUGUCCCCCACACUGGUACUGAGACACGGACCAGACUCCUACGGGAGGCAGCAGUAAGGAAUAUUGGGCAAUGGACGCAAGUCUGACCCAGCCAUGCCGCGUGAAGGAAGACGGCCCUAUGGGUUGUAAACUUCUUUUCUCAGGGGGUAAACUCCGGAACGUGUUCCGGACUGAAAGUACCUGAGGAAUAAGCAUCGGCUAACUCCGUGCCAGCAGCCGCGGUAAUACGGAGGAUGCGAGCGUUAUCCGGAUUCAUUGGGUUUAAAGGGUGCGCAGGCGGAUAUAUAAGUCGGAGGUGAAAUUCUGAUGCUCAACAUCAGCCGUGCCUUCGAUACUGUAUAUCUAGAGUCAAGUUGGAGUAGGCGGAAUGUGUUGUGUAGCGGUGAAAUGCUUAGAUAUAACACAGAACACCGAUCGCGAAGGCAGCUUACUAAACUUUGACUGACGCUCAUGCACGAAAGCGUGGGGAUCAAACAGGAUUAGAUACCCUGGUAGUCCACGCUGUAAACGAUGAUUACUCGCUGUUGGCGAUACACAGUCAGUGGCUAAGCGAAAGUGAUAA